This 2318-nucleotide long non-coding RNA is filed under the name Citrus x clementina. Its description in RNAcentral is "Citrus clementina (C. clementina) long non-coding RNA (CCLE_LNC004520)". The record is from RNAcentral. Lineage: Eukaryota; Viridiplantae; Streptophyta; Magnoliopsida; Sapindales; Rutaceae.
AAGGAUAAAAUGGGAACCUCCCCCCAUGGGAGUGGGAAUCCCACUCCCCACUCCAAAAUUGAGUGGGACCCACGAAUUCCCACUCCCACUCCCCUUUUUUUAAGAUAAGUAAACACUGAAAUGGGAGGAAUACACACUCUACACUUCCACUCCAUAAAGCAAACACUGCCAUAAUAGAGUGGAGUGAAUUUAAGCCAUUUAACGGAAACAGGGUCCGGAUGCAUUUUUAUAUUAUUUCUCUAUAUGAUUGAAAUUGGAAUACUUAUUUUUCACUGGGGAAUAUUCCGUUUCAAAAGUAGUUUCAGGUUCUUUUUUAAAAUCUGUUGAGAGUAGAUGAAAGGAAAUUCGGUCAUCCUGUCCACCAACUUGCUCAAACAAAUUGCUAACGAAAAAGUUAAAACCAGCUGUCGGUAGAGGAAAACUGUCAUUAUAUUUAAACCUUGUCGGCCAUUCGAGAUUUAAAAAAGAAAAAAAAAAUUAUCAUCUUGUCAUUAUAUAGUAAUGGGUCCAGGAAGUGAAAGAAAAAGAUAAUUGAUAAGAAGAAUAAUUUUAUAUAAACUUGUCUCUCUGGUAAUUACUUGGUAAAGUUCCAAAAAUUGAACAAUUUUAAGGCUUGUCAUCUUGACAUAAUUGAUGAAAUUUAAAACAUAUAAAUAUGUUAGACGAUGACAAACACAUAUUUCACCUCAAAGCUGACGUCUCUUUAUUAAAAUACUUGUGGAAAUUUCGGGAAAGCAGCCUAUAUCAAUGCAAUUAUUGGACUCUUUGAAAAUCCAUCCGGGGUGAAUGAUUCAUCUGCAAUCCAUUGAAAACUCACUCCCCAUAAAAAAUGUUAUGGGUAAUAAUGGUUGUCUAGCUAUUUUAUGUUUACUAUUUAUCAAUAAGAUACAAGAAGUUUCAUAAGGUAUCACUGAAUUACCAACAAAAUUUUAAAGGUAUCAUUUAAUUAUAUUUCCGUUGAUAAGUAUAUUGCAAUAAUAUAGUUUGAAAAAGCUAGUAUAUAUAUAAUAGUAAUGCUGUACAAACACAAACGCACUCACAAACAACGCUAAUUUGGAGCAUUAUUUAUUUAUUAAGCGCUUGACAACAAUUCUUACUAAGCAUACCAAAGCAAUCGUUAUCUCGGGUAAAAUCUCUCGUUGUUAUGGAUAUUUAGCAGCACUCUAAGUGGUCACAAGCCAUCCCUGGCAAGUGCCAACAUCGGAUAAGAAGGAGCAUUGCGACGCCAAUGUUGACUAAUGAGCACGAGUCUAUAGUGAACGACAAUAUGGUCAAAAAGCUAACGAGAAAAGUAGACUAAAAUAGGUCUCUUGUCCCGUCCUUGCAACUUCUUGUCUUGUUACUUUUACUUGGUGAUUCAUGCUAAAAAAACAUUAUAACAGCAAUAAUAAAAAGAAAAAAAAAAGUGGGUACAAUGCCUAAAUUAAUCUAGAAAUCCAAAUUAAAUAGUCAGUCAAAUAAAAUUACUUAAAAAUCACCCUACAAGCUCUUAAUGGUGACAAUCACCACCUCUUUAAAUAAAUUAAUGUGACAUAAAAAUAUUAAUUGGAUAAUAUCAUUACAUGAUUUAUAUAAUUAUUAGUCUUUUAGAGUCCAGCUAUGUUGUAACCGUUCUAAAGUAGAGCAUCCCUUCAUAAUCAUAUGACCAAAGUUAUAAUGAAUUUUUUACUAUUUAUCAUUUUGCAUGUGUGACUGAGAUUCGUGCUCCACCAUAGUCAUAGCCUUAUAAUAUAUAUAUUUUUUAAAUCAAUAUAUAGCUUCAUGUCAUAUCAAUUUGUACAAAUAAUUUGUAGCUCUAUCAUUGCAUGAGAAUUUUUCGUAAUUUUAUUGAAAGUUUAUGCAAAACUAUUAAAGAUAUACCUCUAUCUAUGUUCUAGACAAAAUCAACAAAAAUAAAAAAAUUUUAAAAAAAUAAAAAUAGAAGACUUGCUAAACUGGUCCUACCACAUUUGACGUUAUGACCUCUCAAUGUACAUGUACAUGUAAACAGCGUCUUCGAAGCUAGGAUAGGGUCUUUUCCUACCGUUUUAUAUAUUUCUUUCGUUUCUUUUCUGCUCUCUCUAAUCAUGGAUGAGUGGAGACUAAAGGAAACACUAUAUAUAGUGAUCAUAAAGUUAAUUAAUUUGAAAAGUAUAAGAUAAAAAUAGAUUAAAGGAAUCACUGCCAGAUCGCCUACACAAACUUAGCCAUACUACAAAGGUUGCCCACAAUUGGUGCAUGUUUCCAAAAUUAUUUUUAAAUCACACGGCUUUAUAGAGUAUUGAAAAUUAAUUCUAUUGAGCCGUACGACUUAACAAUGUGUUCGUAUUAAAAAAAAU